GCGAAGAUAACUCGAGUCUUAAAUGGCGACUCAUAGUCCUUUGUUCAGGACCCGAAACCGGUUGAUCUAAACUUGAGCAGGCUGAUAUUAUAGUGGUAACAUUUUUUGGAGGGCCGAACCCGUGUAUGUGGCAAAAUACUGGGAUGACUUGAGUUUAGGGGUGAAAGGCCAAUCAAAGCCGGUGAUAGCUGGAUUUCUGCGAAAUCUAUUUAAGUAGAGCGUUCUAUUAGAGUAGUCCGGGGUAGAGCACUGUGCAGGUGAGGGGGGCAUUUGCUUUACUGAGCUUUGGCAAACUUCGAAUACGGACUCUAUUUUUAGGGCAGACAGAACAUGUGUGCUAAGACUCAUGUUCAAAAGGGAAACAGCCCAGAUUGUUAGUUAAGGUCCAUGAUAUCGCUUCAGUGACAAAGGUUAUUUUUGCUCUGAGACCGUCAGAAGGUAGGCUUGGAAGCAGCCAUUCUUUUAAGACAGCGUAACAGCUCACUGACCUAGAGUAUAAAUUCCGCAAAUUUUGAGGGCUUAAAGUUAUUACCGAAACUUCAAACAAAAGAAUAUAUUAAAAUUAUUUUGUGGUAGCAGAACAUUCCGUAGGUUGUAAAAGCUAUAGUGCAAACUAUUGUGAAGAUAUCGGAAAUGAGAAUACUUGCAUGAGUAGCACGAAACAACGAUAAACGUUGUGGCUGUAAGUCUAAGGUUUCCGAUCUAAAGUAAUACUUGGUCGGCAGAAGUGUGUACUUCUAGAAAAAACGGUCCCUAAGCGGUCAGGCCAAAGCUUGUAGUGAUGGGUAAGAUUAUGCUGUGAUAAGUACCUGACGAAAAAUUCACUUUAUUUUUAAUAAAUUUAAAGGUAAAUUAUUUUUUCCAAGAAAAAGGCUCUUUUUUAAACCGUACCUUAAACCGCCACAGGUAGAUGGGUUGAGAAUACUAAGGCCUUGAGAUAACCCCGUUGAAGGAACUCGGCAAAAUGACUCUGUAACUUCGGAAUAAGGAGUAAAAAGUAAUGCGAAAGCUCUACUUUUUGGCACAAAAUCGGGGGUAGCGACUGUUUAUUAAAAACACAGGUCUCUGCUAACUCGUAAGAGGUUGUAUAGGGACUGACACCUGCCCGGUGCCGGUAGGUAAAGACCCGGUGUUUACGCAUUGGUAUCAAACCCCGGUAAACGGCGGCUGUAACUAUGACGGUCCUAAGGUAGCGAAAUUCCUUGUCGGGUAAGUUCCGACCCGCAUGAAUGGUGUAACGACUUCCCCGCUGUCUCCAACGGGGUCUCAGUGAAAUUACAAAGGUCGUGAAGAUGCGACCACCCUACAGCUGGACGGAAAGACCCCGUGCACCUUUACUAUAUGCAACUAUUGUAACUCAAAGGUUUUAGUGUAGAAUAGGUGGGAGCUUGUGAGUUAAUUUCUACGGAAAUUAUUUAGGCGUUAGUGAAAUACCACCCAAAAAUUUGUUGGUUUACUAACUCGCGGACAGUGGUUGCUGGGUAGUUUGACUGGGGCGGUCGCCUCCUAAAGAGUAGCGGAGGCACGCAAAGGUAGGCUCAUUUCCAAUAAAGGUAAAUCGAGCGUAAUGGUAAAAGCCUGCUUGACUGUAAGAAAAACAUUUCGAUCAGAGACGCAAGUCGGUCAUAGUGAUCCGGUAAUUCUUUGUGGAAGGGUUAUCGCGCAAUGGAUAAAAGGUACGCCGGGGAUAACAGGCUAAUGAUCCUCUAGAGCUCCUAUCGACGGGUUCGUUUGGCACCUCGAUGUCGACUCAUCACAUCCUGGAGCUGAAAAGGGUUCCAAGGGUUCGGUUGUUCGCCGACGAAAGUGGUACGUGAGUUGGGUUUAGAACGUCGUGAGACAGUUUGGUCCCUAUCUUCUGUGGGUGUUUGAAAACUCCGAGGACUAUACCUUAGUACGAGAGGACCAGGAAAACUCGAUCCCUGGUGUUCCGGUUGUU
This 1939-nucleotide ribosomal RNA is filed under the name Sargassum patens. Its description in RNAcentral is "large subunit ribosomal RNA". It matches the Rfam family "Bacterial large subunit ribosomal RNA", at positions 666 to 2725 of the family's 2925-position model. Lineage: Eukaryota; Phaeophyceae; Fucales; Sargassaceae. The record is from RNAcentral.